Molecule: non-coding RNA, 609 nt
Organism: Doryrhamphus excisus (bluestripe pipefish)
Lineage: Eukaryota; Metazoa; Chordata; Actinopteri; Syngnathiformes; Syngnathidae
Source: RefSeq, a predicted model, not a curated record
GGGAAUCAACAAACUAGUCUUCAAAGUUGACUCGCACACACUCACACUCCUCCGGCUGGAUUGUUCAGAACCUAGUGACGCCCCUGGCAUGUAGGCCCCGGUUUGCUGGCCGCAAUGAGAGUUGCAGUGAUUGCACUCAGCCAGCAGAGGUCGCCCUCACCCCCAACUGGGCAUCAAAGUAUGAGUAGUUAUCACUUUGUGGGCGACUCCUGUGUUACCUCUGUGCCAGGGGAGGAUGCCAUACUGAGACACAAAUCUUCACACUCUCUCCAGGCAUUUGUUUGAUUAAUAUUCAUCAUAUACACCUUUUAAUAAUGAAUACAGAAUUUGUAAUUACUAUAAAGUUUUCUUCAACUCCCGCACAUCUACUUUCCCCCAGACAUUUCACUUAAGGCAGCAUUGCUAGACAAAAGCCUGCUGGCCUUCAUCAAUAAUGGAUAUUUGUGUGUUUUCCUGCUAAUUGGGACUAAAAUUUGACAAAAACCCAGGAUUUAUUGUGCUUCUUUAUAAAUAGAAUACAAAGUUGGAGCUUUGGCGGAGAGGAGCAAACUUCAUGGAAGUCCGAUGAGAGGAAGAGCGGUGUCAAAUCCACUCAAAUGUCCUGCAAGC